CGUUUCUGUGAGUUGAUUGGAAUAUAAUCUUCACAUACAUAUUGGUACAGAAUCUGGUUUCCUUUGGUGUUUCAUCCACAGCUGGAAAUCGUUUUGGUCAAAUAAAAAUGGAUAUUUACGGAAUAAACGGUGUAAGAUUUUCCUUUCUUUUUCUUCACUCAUUUCUGGUUCAUCAGUCUCAGUUGUGUAUUGGGGGAGUUCAUGUGGAGUUUGAUCAGUUUACAAAGACCAAGGCCAUGUUAAGGGGAACUUAUUCAUUGUUCACUGCAGCUACAUGUGUAUUGGUAAAUUGUAAUCUUUCUUAGUCUUUGCUCUAACAUGAAAUGGAAUCUAGUUUUUUUAGUCUUUUAAAUCACCUUAGGUUCUCUGAUGUGCUUCUGCAUUUGCUGAUAGAUUCGACUGGAAGAGGAUGACACAUGUAACUGAUAAGGUGUUAAGUUUAUGUGUGGUGUUAGUUUAUGAUUUUGUUGGCCUUUGUACCUAUAGUUUGUUCUUGUAGACAAGGCCUUCAACUUGAAAGGAAGGAAUUCAUUUGAACUUAUUGGGGCACCUGCAUGGGUCAGGAAUAGUAAAGUGGUUUUCAGGACGGUGGAGCCAAUAUUGUUAAUUUUUUGUUGUGGUUUGUUUUAAUGAUAUAUUUUUAAGAGUUGUUUGGAAUGUGAUUCUCACUUCAUAUUGGUACAGAAUCUGGUUUUCUUUGGUGCUUUUUCAUCCACAGCUGGAAAUCCUUUGGUCAAAUAAUAUUCUAUUCUUAUGGAGGAAAGGGUGUAAAAUUCUUCUCUUUUCUUUGCUCAUUUCUGGUUCAUCAGUUUCAGUGUGUGCAUUGGGGUUGUUUAUGUGGAGUCUGAUCAUUUUACAAGGUCUGAGCUGUGAAGGGAAACUAUUUUGCGGCUACAUUCACAUUGGCGAUUACAUCUAUCUUUGCUCUACAUGAACUGGAAUCUGGACUCUCUUCAGUUUAGUAUAAAAUGCCUUAAGGUUUUUGAUGUUCCUCCGUGUGCAGAUAGCUUUGAUGGGGAGAGGAUGACACAUGAAUCAGGAAUUUCCAAUAUAGCUUAAUGACAGUUCCUUGGGGUCUUCUUGGAUGUUCAGUUAUAUAAAGAUUGGUCACCAGUUGGUAACUUCCAUGCUAUGGUACUGAUAUGCACAAUGAAAAAAUUGAUUGAUUGCAUGGUAA
This is a long non-coding RNA of Olea europaea var. sylvestris, 1177 nucleotides long. RefSeq lists it as uncharacterized. NCBI's taxonomy places the organism in Eukaryota, Viridiplantae, Streptophyta, Magnoliopsida, Lamiales, Oleaceae. The transcript has 2 exons. The record is from RefSeq and is a predicted model, not a curated record.